CAGCAGCUCUGUAGCAAUACAGAGGCUGGCGACCGGCAAACGGGUGCGGAACACGUACACAACCUUCCUUUAAGUGGGGAAUAGCCCGGGGAAACCCGGAUUAAUACCCCGUAAUAUAAUGAAGUGGCAUCACUUUAUUAUUAUAGCAGCAAUGCGCUUAUAGAUGGGUGUGCGACUGAUUAGGCAGUUGGCGGGGUAACGGCCCACCAAACCUACGAUCAGUAACUGGUGUGAGAGCACGACCAGUCACACGGGCACUGAGACACGGGCCCGACUCCUACGGGAGGCAGCAGUAAGGAAUAUUGGUCAAUGGACGCAAGUCUGAACCAGCCAUGCCGCGUGGAGGAUGAAGGUCCUCUGGAUUGUAAACUUCUUUUAUCUGGGAAGAAAUCCACGAAUUCUUUUGUGGUUGACGGUACCAGAUGAAUAAGCACCGGCUAACUCCGUGCCAGCAGCCGCGGUAAUACGGAGGGUGCAAGCGUUAUCCGGAUUCACUGGGUUUAAAGGGUGCGUAGGUGGGCAGGUAAGUCAGUGGUGAAAUCUCCGGGCUUAACUCGGAAACUGCCAUUGAUACUAUCUGUCUUGAAUACCGUGGAGGUCAGCGGAAUAUGUCAUGUAGCGGUGAAAUGCUUAGAUAUGACAUAGAACACCAAUUGCGAAGGCAGCUGGCUACACGAAUAUUGACACUGAUGCACGAAAGCGUGGGGAUCAAACAGGAUUAGAUACCCUGGUAGUCCACGCCCUAAACGAUGGAUACUCGACAUACGCGAUAUACUGUGUGUGUCUGAGCGAAAGCAUUAAGUAUCCCACCUGGGAAGUACGAUCGCAAGAUUGAAACUC
Molecule: ribosomal RNA, 840 nt
Filed under: uncultured Flavobacteriaceae bacterium
Lineage: Bacteria; Pseudomonadati; Bacteroidota; Flavobacteriia; Flavobacteriales; Flavobacteriaceae
Description: bacterial SSU rRNA
Rfam family: Bacterial small subunit ribosomal RNA
Source: RNAcentral